RNAcentral lists this ribosomal RNA (563 nucleotides) under Glaesserella parasuis. Its description in RNAcentral is "partial 23S ribosomal RNA". It matches the Rfam family "Bacterial large subunit ribosomal RNA", at positions 918 to 1483 of the family's 2925-position model. Lineage: Bacteria; Pseudomonadati; Pseudomonadota; Gammaproteobacteria; Pasteurellales; Pasteurellaceae. The record is from RNAcentral.
GCUAGGGGCCAUACCGGUUACCGAACCUAGUCAAACUACGAAUGGCUAUACUUAUACUCGGGAGUCAGACAGUGAAUGAUAAGGUCCAUUGUCAAGAGGGAAACAGCCCAGAACACCGACUAAGGUCCCAAAUGUUACACUAAGUGGCGAAGGAUGUGGAGUUUCCAAAACAACCAGGAUGUUGGCUUAGAAGCAACCACCAUUUAAAGAGUGCGUAAUAGCUCACUGGUCGAGAGACUCUGCGCCGAAGAUGUCCGGGGCUAAAGUGUAAAACCGAAGUCGUGUCAUAUGCAGCAAUGUAUAUGGGUAGGGGAGCGUUCUCAUCGGGCUGAAGCAGUACCGUAAGGAGUUGUGGACUGAUGAGAAGUGAGAAUGUCGGUAUGAGUAGCGAAAAGAAUGGUGAGAAUCCAUUCCACCGAAAGCCUAAGGGUUCCUGAGCAACGAUCGUCGUCUCAGGGUAAGUCGGGACCUAAGCCGAGGCGGAAAAGCGUAGGCGAUGGACAACAGGUUGAAAUUCCUGUACCGGUGUGAAUCGUUUGAUCGAUGGAGUGACACAGUAAGGC